Long non-coding RNA from Arvicanthis niloticus (Nile rat), 594 nucleotides. RefSeq lists it as uncharacterized. NCBI's taxonomy places the organism in Eukaryota, Metazoa, Chordata, Mammalia, Rodentia, Muridae. The record is from RefSeq and is a predicted model, not a curated record.
CCCCUGAUGGGCCUGAAAGGAAAACGCUUUGAAAUCGGAACUGAGAAAGCUACUGGGCGGAACGUCCUCUCCUUGAGGCCGGAUGUAACCCUGCACCCUUGAAACCAGAAAACCUGGUUGGAGUCUGCAAACCGCGAUGCAGGAUGUGGGCACCGAGAAAAAGCAAGCGAUCCCAGUCAGGACUUCUUUGGGCCCAAACCUCGGUCUGCAUGUCAGUAAAGACUUGGUUAUAAUCUGUACAUACCUAAGAUUGCUUAGUUGACCCAUCUUUUGGCAGCUUUGAUGACCUUCACUAAAUCAUGGCCUUUCUUAGGAGUGCCCUCAUUUAACUAACACCAAGACCCUUAGUUGCCUGUACAAUGGAAGGAUUUACAGUUACUGACCUUUGUACCCACACACUAGUUCAAGGUCAGCUAGGUAACCUAAAUGUGUUCAGUGAAUAUCGAACAGUUAUCGGGAACUUAAUGAGAGAUGGAGUACCUUCAUUAUGAUUUCUUCAUCACAAUCUCAAGGCUUUAUUUAGCACCUCUCUGCAAUACUUAAACAUAACCCUUGAGGUGAGAGGGAAAGGACAUUAAAAUAUCUAAAGAGCCA